RNAcentral lists this ribosomal RNA (253 nucleotides) under uncultured bacterium. Its description in RNAcentral is "partial 16S ribosomal RNA". It matches the Rfam family "Bacterial small subunit ribosomal RNA", at positions 524 to 776 of the family's 1533-position model. The record is from RNAcentral.
UACGGGGGGGGCAAGCGUUGUUCGGAAUUCCUGGGCGUAAAGGGCUCGUAGGCGGCCAACUAAGUCAGACGUGAAAUCCCUAGGCUCAACCUAGGAACUGCGUCUGAUACUGGAUGGCUUGAAUCCGGGAGAGGGAUGCAGAAUUCCAGGUGUAGCGGUGAAAUGCGUAGAUAUCUGGAGGAAUACCGGUGGCGAAGGCGGCAUCCUGGACCGGCAUUGACGCUGAGGAGCGAAAGCCAGGGGAGCAAACGGG